RNAcentral lists this ribosomal RNA (1285 nucleotides) under Salmonella enterica subsp. enterica serovar Heidelberg str. RI-11-013988. RNAcentral's name for it is "bacterial LSU rRNA". It matches the Rfam family "Bacterial large subunit ribosomal RNA", at positions 1 to 1225 of the family's 2925-position model. The record is from RNAcentral. Lineage: Bacteria; Pseudomonadati; Pseudomonadota; Gammaproteobacteria; Enterobacterales; Enterobacteriaceae.
GGUUAAGCGACUAAGCGUACACGGUGGAUGCCCUGGCAGUCAGAGGCGAUGAAGGGCGUGCUAAUCUGCGAUAAGCGCCGGUAAGGUGAUAUGAACCGUUAUAACCGGCGAUACCCGAAUGGGGAAACCCAGUGUGACUCGUCACACUAUCAUUAACUGAAUCCAUAGGUUUAAUGAGGCGAACCGGGGGAACUGAAACAUCUAAGUACCCCGAGGAAAAGAAAUCAACCGAGAUUCCCCCAGUAGCGGCGAGCGAACGGGGAGGAGCCCAGAGCCUGAAUCAGCAUGUGUGUUAGUGGAAGCGUCUGGAAAGGCGCGCGAUACAGGGUGACAGCCCCGUACACAAAAGCGCAUGUGCUGUGAGCUCGAUGAGUAGGGCGGGACACGUGGUAUCCUGUCUGAAUAUGGGGGGACCAUCCUCCAAGGCUAAAUACUCCUGACUGACCGAUAGUGAACCAGUACCGUGAGGGAAAGGCGAAAAGAACCCCGGCGAGGGGAGUGAAAAAGAACCUGAAACCGUGUACGUACAAGCAGUGGGAGCCCCACCACUAAGCCAGUGGUGAACUCCACAUACGCAUCCUUUGCUGAGGAUACGGUUAACGGAGCGAAAGCGACGUUCAACCGCAAAAGAAGCAGAGGGGGCUUAGUGGUGGGGUGACUGCGUACCUUUUGUAUAAUGGGUCAGCGACUUAUAUUCUGUAGCAAGGUUAACCGAAUAGGGGAGCCGGAGGGAAACCGAGUCUUAAUUGGGCGUUAAGUUGCAGGGUAUAGACCCGAAACCCGGUGAUCUAGCCAUGGGCAGGUUGAAGGUUGGGUAACACUAACUGGAGGACCGAACCGACUAAUGUUGAAAAAUUAGCGGAUGACCUGUGGCUGGGGGUGAAAGGCCAAUCAAACCGGGAGAUAGCUGGUUCUCCCCGAAAGCUAUUUAGGUAGCGCUUCGUGAAUUCAUCUCCGGGGGUAGAGCACUGUUUCGGCUAGGGGGCCAUCCCGGCUUACCAACCCGAUGCAAACUGCGAAUACCGGAGAAUGUUAUCACGGGAGACACACGGCGGGUGCUAACGUCCGUCGUGAAGAGGGAAACAACCCAGACCGCCAGCUAAGGUCCCAAAGUCAUGGUUAAGUGGGAAACGAUGUGGGAAGGCCCAGACAGCCAGGAUGUUGGCUUAGAAGCAGCCAUCAUUUAAAGAAAGCGUAAUAGCUCACUGGUCGAGUCGGCCUGCGCGGAAGAUGUAACGGGCUAAACCGAUGCACCGAAGCUGCGGCAGCGACACUGUGUGUUGUU